UGAAUCCUACGGGGGGCAGCAGUGGGGAAUAUUGCACAAUGGGGGAAACCCUGAUGCAGCGACGCCGCGUGAGUGAAGAAGUAAUUCGUUAUGUAAAGCUCUAUCAGCAGGGAAGAAAAUGACGGUACCUGAGUAAGAAGCCCCGGCUAACUACGUGCCAGCAGCCGCGGUAAUACGUAGGGGGCAAGCGUUAUCCGGAUUUACUGGGUGUAAAGGGCGUGUAGGCGGGGACGCAAGUCAGAUGUGAAAACCACGGGCUCAACCUGUGGCCUGCAUUUGAAAC
Molecule: ribosomal RNA, 283 nt
Filed under: uncultured bacterium
Lineage: Bacteria
Description: partial 16S ribosomal RNA
Rfam family: Bacterial small subunit ribosomal RNA
Source: RNAcentral